Pseudophryne corroboree (corroboree frog) is the source of this 731-nucleotide long non-coding RNA. RefSeq lists it as uncharacterized. Lineage: Eukaryota; Metazoa; Chordata; Amphibia; Anura; Myobatrachidae. The record is from RefSeq and is a predicted model, not a curated record. The transcript has 4 exons.
UUCAUGAAUAUGAAACUAAGUUAUAUGAGUUAUACACUCACUUAUAUAAUUUUUAUAGUUAAUAGAUCUUCCCCUUACUAAGUGAAAGGAGUAUUUGUUUCUCCAUGGGGUGGGAACUCUUUGUACCAUACUGGUACUUUAAUAGAUGGUCUAAUUGAUAUCAACCCAAUUAAUUUACCAGGUCUACCACGUGUUCUAAAUUGGUUAGACAUUAUACCCAUUUGAAUUGCCUUCACUCCUGAGUCUCUGAGUGUCAGGUUCAAGCUGCUGACCGACGAGGUUCCUUAUGCUUGCGAACCAGUUAGAUUCUAUACACAUAUGAAUCUUCCCCAUAUUCGAAUAUCUGAAUGUCAGACUCAAGCUGAUGAUAUAUGAGGUAUGGUCCUCGCUGUAUCAAUCAAGUCCCAUUGAAAUAUUGAAACGUUGUUCAUACAUCUUUGAAUGACCUUUUAUGUGCUGACAAUAUGUUCUGAAAUGAAGAGAUUUUACCCCUGAUGAAGUCUUGGAACAAGACGAAACGCGUUGGUUUAUUUAUCUAUCUAUUAUCUGAUGUUACCUCCGAAUCUACAAUAAGGAGAAGGAGGAAAUCGUAGUGAUAUAUCUACGCUUUUUCCUCAUCACUACAAACUGAUUGUUCAAAUUGUGCGACAAAUGUAAAUGUAUCAACUCUGUAUACUUAUGAACAUUUGUGUCGGGUUUAUAUGUUGUUUUAAUAAAUUUUUAUGUUAGUA